CUGUGUCUGUCAGUGCGGCGUCACAAUCCUGCUUGUUUUCCAUCGAUGUGCGGUCCUCAUCCCUGCCGGAAGGCUCUGUCGGAACGCUUCUCCUCUCUGCUCCACUUUCGUCGCUCUCGCAUCUCUGGGCACGCUUAGCUGCAAGGUUUGCGUCUGAUGGUUUUCGACUCCCUCGACCGCAAUGGAGUUUCUCUUCCUUCUUUCCUAGCCCCUUCUGGACACUGUUGGGGGGGUUGGCCGGCAUCGAGGCCUGCGCGUCUGUCUCUUCGCGCCUGUUGUCUCCCUCUCCCGGUUCCCUCCAGGCUGUUAUUGCAUGCGCGCGCAGCUCUUUUUCGCGAAGCUCCUCCUGUCGCCCUCUGCAGGAAGUUCCGUCUUCCAAGAGCCGAAUCUGCAAGGGAUGGAUGUCGAGAAAAAGCUGCGAACCGACCGCCGGCUCUUCGAGUCUUUGCGUGUGCGGAAACUCCAGUUCACCUGAUGCAUCCCUUCGCCGAAACUGCUCUGGACGGAAGCCUGGCGAAGCCGCAGAGCCAAGGGGGACUCUGAAGGCGCCAGGACUGGUGAGCAAGGGCGGCGACUGAAGAGGAGACAAAGAGGGCGAGUCUCCGACGAGCACAGCCUCGCUUGUCUCCUCUUCAGAAGCAGCUAGAGCAGCUUUGCUCCCAGUCCGAGUGGAAAUGUGUUUCCUCAGCGCAAUACGUCUGCCUGGCGGAGAAAAGGAGUUGCAAACAACGGCUGUGUUGACAUCUUUUCUUCCGCUACGCAUCUCACGAGGCUUCACUUCCUGAGGCGCGGGCCUCAGACCCACGAGUGCUGCCGCGGGUCUGUCUCUACCUCUGUUUUCAUGGGCGUCUUCAGCAGAACGCGACAGAAGAGACGGAGCGUUGUAGGGCGGUGACGGCGAUGGCUGCAUCGAUUCGAGUUCAUGUUUGUCCCUACAUGUGAUACCGGUAGUGGGGUUCUUCGAACUUCUCCGAAACGCCUCUGCCUUGCGUAGCUGUUGCCUCUCAAACGGUGUCUCUGACUCGCGGUCAAGGGACUGCGAGGCCAAAGGCGAAGGAACAGUGUGUCGUGGCUGUCCGGCGUUGUCUUGCUCAGCAGCAGGCGAGGGCUUGGGCGCAGAAACUCGACUGUCUCUCUCUUCUGUCCUUGUAGGGACGCAGCAGAUCCGAUGCUGUUCUGCAGAGCGAUCCGUGAGCUUUCUUGAGUCUUUGAAACCCUCGGAAGAGAAGUUCGAGCCGCAAGCGGACUGAUCGGGACUGCGCCAGGAGUUCGGCG
Molecule: long non-coding RNA, 1275 nt
Filed under: Toxoplasma gondii VEG
Lineage: Eukaryota; Apicomplexa; Conoidasida; Eucoccidiorida; Sarcocystidae
Source: RNAcentral